Molecule: long non-coding RNA, 565 nt
Organism: Rosa rugosa (rugosa rose)
Lineage: Eukaryota; Viridiplantae; Streptophyta; Magnoliopsida; Rosales; Rosaceae
Exons: 3
Source: RefSeq, a predicted model, not a curated record
UGAAGUUUUUACGUCGGAAUUCAAGCUCGCCGGAUUCUGGAAAUUUUCCGGCCACCGACGCUUUCGAUCAAGAUAUCUCGAGCUGUAGAGCUUCGUUUUGAGUGAUUCUUGAACCAGUGAGUUCGUCUUUAAGUUCUGAACAAGUCUCCUGAAGGAAUCGAAGCGAAAGGAGGACAUUUUUACGUUGAUCGGAGCUUCGCCGACUUCUGCAAAUUCUCGCCGGUUUCUGGAAAAAAUUCCGGCCACCUCGACUGUUUUAGGUGAUUGACGGUCUCCCUUGGGUGAACGAUUUCGGUGUGUAUUGUGUUGAAUUGAAGACGCAGCGGGAAUAUCGAGCGGGUAAUCCUGCAGGUCAGGAGAAUCAGGGCGGUGAUCGAGCGGGUUAGAGUAUUUGUUAUAGUUUUACAGCAUUUGUAAUAGUGAGGUGAGUUAAGCUCAUUGAGCCUUACAAUUUGAUUUGGUGAGAGUGUGUUGUAAUAAUUAACUUGAGGAUUUGAUUUAUUGUAAUAUUGAGAGGUGUGAAGUGUGGUUGUUUGUGAGAAAAAAAUUCAGGACGUUUAUUCUA